UACGGGGGGGGUAAGCGUUGUUCGGAAUUACUGGGCGUAAAGGGCUCGUAGGCGGCCAACUAAGUCAUACGUGAAAUCCCUCAGCUUAACUGGGGAACUGCGUGUGAUACUGGAUGGCUUGGAUGUGGGAGAGGGAUGCGGAAUUCCAGGUGUAGCGGUGAAAUGCGUAGAUAUCUGGAGGAACACCGGUGGCGAAGGCGGCAUCCUGGACCGACAUUGACGCUGAGGCGCGAAAGCCAGGGGAGCAAACGGG
This 253-nucleotide ribosomal RNA is filed under the name uncultured bacterium. RNAcentral's name for it is "partial 16S ribosomal RNA". It matches the Rfam family "Bacterial small subunit ribosomal RNA", at positions 524 to 776 of the family's 1533-position model. The record is from RNAcentral.